This 789-nucleotide ribosomal RNA is filed under the name uncultured Methanomicrobiaceae archaeon. RNAcentral's name for it is "bacterial SSU rRNA". It matches the Rfam family "Archaeal small subunit ribosomal RNA", at positions 85 to 879 of the family's 1478-position model. Lineage: Archaea; Methanobacteriati; Methanobacteriota; Methanomicrobia; Methanomicrobiales; Methanomicrobiaceae. The record is from RNAcentral.
ACUGCUCAGUAACACGUGGAUAACCUGCCCUGCGGUGGGAAAUAACCCCGGGAAACUGGGGAUAAUGUCCCAUAGGCUACGGAUGCUGGAAUGCUCUGUAGCUCAAAGAUUUAUCGCCACAGGAUGGGUCUGCGGCCGAUUAGGUAGUUGUUGGGGUAACGGCCCAACAAGCCUUUGAUCGGUACGGGUUGUGGGAGCAAGAGCCCGGAGAUGGAUUCUGAGACACGAAUCCAGGCCCUACGGGGCGCAGCAGGCGCGAAAACUUUACAAUGCGGGAAACCGUGAUAAGGGAACUCCGAGUGUCCGUAAAUGCGGACUGUCCGUAUGUUUAAAAAGCAUGCGAAGAAAGGGCCGGGCAAGACCGGUGCCAGCCGCCGCGGUAAUACCGGCGGCUCGAGUGGUGGCCACUAUUACUGGGCUUAAAGCGUUCGUAGCUGGGUUGUUAAGUCUCUUGGGAAAUCUACCGGCUUAACCGAUAGGCGUCCAAGGAAUACUGGCAAUCUAGGGACCGGGAGAGGUGAGGGGUACUUCAGGGGUAGGAGUGAAAUCCUGUAAUCCUUGGGGGACCACCUGUGGCGUAGGCGCCUCACCAGAACGGCUCCGACAGUGAGGGACGAAAGCUGGGGGAGCAAACCGGAUUAGAUACCCGGGUAGUCCCAGCCGUAAACGAUGCGCGUUAGGUGUAUCGAUGACCACGAGUCAUCGAGGUGCCGAAGGGAAACCGUGAAACGCGCCGCCUGGGAAGUACGGUCGCAAGGCUGAAACUUAAAGGAAUUGGCGGGGGAGCAC